AAAAAUAUUAUUAUCCUUGUAAAACUACCCCGAAUCAGAUUUCUUUUGUUCCUUCCAAAACUGCCGCUCCCUUCCGCCUUACCAUCAAACUGCUGGUCCCUUCCGUCUAUCAUCCUUCUGCCCUUUCCGAUUUUCCUCCUCCCUCCGAUGAGAAGACCAGCAACCCGCUCUCGGUUUUGUCUGUCGGUCUCUCCGAAGUCGAUUACCACCUGCCUCCAUGGCCGAGAAGCCGAAUCUAGAUAUCGAAGGCGAUGAAAACGAUCCAAUCGUCCCGGAGGAAGAAAUACUUGGGCAUCUCUACUAGUGAGGAAUCAAGAAGACUGGAAAGGAGAAAUGAAAGAAUCCACCAGACGACAUGCAAGGCCAGAAACAGUAGGUACCACACAAUUUCUUCCAUAUUUAGUCCUUGCGGAGGUUUUUUUAAGGGUUUGUACCGAUUUAUGUUUGAUAUUCCGUCUAACUCAGUACUAUUGAAUGAUUCCUGGCACCGAGUUUUGUACCAGAGUGUUUGGGCUGGUACUGAAUCUUGUACCUGAGAAAAAGCUCCGGUGCUAUGUUCGGUUCCGUGUUAAUUUGCUCUGGUAUUGAGUUUUUGAACUGAGUUUUGUACCACAUAAUAUGCUCUGGUUCCCUGGUACAAGUUUUGUAUCAGAGUGUUUGCGCAGGUACUGAGUCCUGUACUUAAGAAAAGGUUAUGGUACUAUAUUCGUUUCCUUGUUAAUUUGCUCUCGUAUGGAGUUGUUGAACUGAGUUUUGUACCACAGAAUCUGCUCUGUUUCUGAAUUCUGUGCCUCAACAUGUAACUGAUUGUGGUACCUGAAAAACGUGUACCUCUUCAUUCCUAGAUUUUGAGAACUGGUUAUAUUGUUUCCUCCUUUACCUUUGUCUCCAUAUUCUGGUUUACUUAAUAGUCUUAGACAAAUGUGUUAAUUGCUAACAAACUAAGAUGUAGCCUUUCGUUGAAAUGUGCUUGAUUGUAUGCAGGAAGAGGCUGGUAUUUGGGGGAAGUAAUCGCAGUACGAAUAAGAUGUAGUCUAGUUAGGAUUCAUACAAUUGUUGUAAAUGUGUGGCAGACUACUUGAAUUAAAGAUUCAGAGAACCAACAAAGUCAAAGGGGUCUGAUAUUUUGAACUUAUACAUCAAGGCUGGCGUGCAUCUUCUAAUGGUAAGCAAAGUACUUUUGAUUUAGACUGCGAUCCAAAAACCUUACUAAUUUAAAUCCAUUGGUAUGUAUUUAUGAUAGGUUUGGGAAUGCACUACUGCAAGCCUAAUCCUACAUGCCAGAGUUGGGAUAAGACCAAGUUUCUAGCAGUCUUCAAUGAUCUGAAGACUAAGGAAGGGAACGUUUGGCGCAAUGAGGGGUCCCGUAGUCAAGAUCUCAAGAGUAUUCUCGAUACCAUGCCAUCAGGUUGGGGAGAUUCAUCCGUUGAUGAGGUACAUAGAGAUGUAAACAGAUUAACCACUAGAGGUUCAACGUUUGUUGAAAAAGAACUUCCAGCCUCGUCAACAAGGGUAGAAACCUAGUUUUUUGUUGUUGUCUUUCGGGAGCUUGGUGGUUGAUAAUCAGAAUUGGAUGUCUACUGUAAUUGAACUUGUUUCAGUACCCGAUAUUGUGGUUAGGUACAGCCUCGUAUGGAUAGCGGGUUUCACGGUACCAAUUUUGUGACAAUAUGGGUACUGUCAAUGGUCUCAUGGUACAAAUUUUGGGGAACAUACCAGAUAGACAAAUUUGGGAUUCCACCAUAUCCACAACUACAUCUAUUAAUGAGGCUGGAGGGUGAAACUCUUGAGAAUCCAUAGCCUGCUGAAAUUGGAAAGAACCAAG
This 1825-nucleotide long non-coding RNA is filed under the name Linum usitatissimum (flax). RNAcentral's name for it is "long non-coding RNA (LUSI_LNC005695)". Lineage: Eukaryota; Viridiplantae; Streptophyta; Magnoliopsida; Malpighiales; Linaceae. The record is from RNAcentral.